AUGCAGGUGAUCGCCGUUGAAAGACGGUUUCCUCUUCGGAGGCACCUGCACAGGUGCUGCAUGGCUGUCGUCAGCUCGUGUCGUGAGAUGUUGGGUUAAGUCCCGCAACGAGCGCAACCCUUAUCCCCAGUUGCCAUCAGGUAAAGCUGGGAACUCUGGGGAGACUGCCGGUGAUAAACCGGAGGAAGGCGGGGAUGACGUCAAGUCCUCAUGGCCCUUACAUCCCGGGCUACACACGUGCUACAAUGGCAGGUACAGAGGGCUGCGAAGCCGGCGAGGUGGAGCGAAUCCCAGAAAACCUGUCUCAGUCCGGAUUGAAGUCUGCAACUCGACUUCAUGAAGGCGGAAUCGCUAGUAACCGCGAAUCAGCAGGUCGCGGUGAAUACGUUCCCGGGCCUU
This 399-nucleotide ribosomal RNA is filed under the name uncultured Latescibacterota bacterium. Its description in RNAcentral is "bacterial SSU rRNA". It matches the Rfam family "Bacterial small subunit ribosomal RNA", at positions 986 to 1382 of the family's 1533-position model. The record is from RNAcentral. Lineage: Bacteria; Pseudomonadati; Candidatus Latescibacterota.